ACUAGAGCAAAAUAAAAUACAAUUAAGACAACAGGAAAACCAAUGGGAAGGAAAGGAACAACAAAAUUAAAUGGAAAAAUGUUUCUUACUUGCAUUAAAAUGUAGAAACAAGACUAACCAUUUAAUUCAAAAAAUUAGAGCUGCGUUUGCUCUUUGAUCAAAGAAUCUUAUAAAGAGCAAAGAUGAACAGGACAAAGCAAAAUAAAAUGUAAUCAAGACAACAGGAAAACCAAAGGAAAGGAAAGGAACAACAAAAUUAAAUGGAAAAAUGUUUCUUACUUGCAUUAAAAUGUAGAAACAAGACUAACCAUUUAAUUCAAAAAAUUAGAGCUGCGUUUGCUCUUUGAUCAAAGAAUCUUAUAAAGAGCAAAGAUGAACAGGACAAAGCAAAAUAAAAUGUAAUCAAGACAACAGGAAAACCAAAGGA
Molecule: unclassified non-coding RNA, 427 nt
Filed under: Hevea brasiliensis (rubber tree)
Lineage: Eukaryota; Viridiplantae; Streptophyta; Magnoliopsida; Malpighiales; Euphorbiaceae
Source: RNAcentral